GCCCCCAUGGACAAGAGGUUAAGUCACUGCCCUUUCAAGGCAGAAUCACGGGUUCGAUUCCCGUUGGGGGCA
RNAcentral lists this transfer RNA (72 nucleotides) under bacterium F11. It matches the Rfam family "tRNA". From Rfam's summary of the family: Transfer RNA (tRNA) molecules are approximately 80 nucleotides in length. Their secondary structure includes four short double-helical elements and three loops (D, anti-codon, and T loops). The record is from Rfam by way of RNAcentral.